AGUGAACGCUGGCGGUAGGCCUAACACAUGCAAGUCGAACGGCAGCACAGUAAGAGCUUGCUCUUACGGGUGGCGAGUGGCGGACGGGUGAGGAAUACAUCGGAAUCUACUUUUUCGUGGGGGAUAACGUAGGGAAACUUACGCUAAUACCGCAUACGACCUACGGGUGAAAGCAGGGGAUCUUCGGACCUUGCGCGAUUGAAUGAGCCGAUGUCGGAUUAGCUAGUUGGCAGGGUAAAGGCCCACCAAGGCGACGAUCCGUAGCUGGUCUGAGAGGAUGAUCAGCCACACUGGAACUGAGACACGGUCCAGACUCCUACGGGAGGCAGCAGUGGGGAAUAUUGGGCAAUGGGCGCAAGCCUGAUCCAGCCAUACCGCGUGGGUGAAGAAGGCCUUCGGGCUGUAAAGCCCUUUUGUUGGGAAAGAAAAGCAGCAGGUUAAUACCCCGCUGUUCUGACGGUACCCAAAGAAUAAGCACCGGCUAACUUCGUG
Molecule: ribosomal RNA, 492 nt
Filed under: uncultured bacterium
Lineage: Bacteria
Description: partial 16S ribosomal RNA
Rfam family: Bacterial small subunit ribosomal RNA
Source: RNAcentral